This 314-nucleotide ribosomal RNA is filed under the name uncultured eukaryote. Its description in RNAcentral is "partial 18S ribosomal RNA". It matches the Rfam family "Eukaryotic small subunit ribosomal RNA", at positions 1470 to 1796 of the family's 1831-position model. The record is from RNAcentral.
CCCUUAGAUGUUCUGGGCCGCACGCGCGCUACACUGACGAAUGCAACGAGCUUAUAACCUUGGCCGAAAGGUCUGGGUAAUCUCCAAAUUUCGUCGUGAUGGGGAUAGAUUAUUGCAAUUAUUAAUCUUCAACGAGGAAUGCCUAGUAAGCGCAAGUCAUCAGCUUGCGUUGAUUACGUCCCUGCCCUUUGUACACACCGCCCGUCGCUCCUACCGAUUGAAUGGUCCGGUGAAGCCUCCGGAUUGGCGCGCACCUCGGUGCCGCCGAGAAGUUGGCUAAACCUUACCAUUUAGAGGAAGGUGAAGUCGUANCA